UUNAUCAUGGCUCAGGACGAACGCUGGCGGCGUGCUUAACACAUGCAAGUCGAGCGGUAAGUGCCCUUUCGGGGGUACACGAGCGGCGAACGGGUGAGUAACACGUGGGUAACCUGCCCUCAGCUCUGGGAUAAGCCCGGGAAACUGGGUCUAAUACCGGAUAUGACUCCGCAUCGCAUGGUGUGGGGUGGAAAGCCUUGUGCGGCUGAGGAUGGGCCCGCGGCCUAUCAGCUUGUUGGUGGGGUAGUGGCCUACCAAGGCGACGACGGGUAGCCGGCCUGAGAGGGCGACCGGCCACACUGGGACUGAGACACGGCCCAGACUCCUACGGGAGGCAGCAGUGGGGAAUAUUGCGCAAUGGGCGAAAGCCUGACGCAGCGACGCCGCGUGAGGGAUGACGGCCUUCGGGUUGUAAACCUCUUUCAGCUCCGACGAAGCCUUCGGGUGACGGUAGGGGCAGAAGAAGCACCGGCCAACUACGUGCCAGCAGCCGCGGUAAUACGUAGGGUGCAAGCGUUGUCCGGAAUUAUUGGGCGUAAAGAGCUCGUAGGCGGUUUUGUCGCGUCGACUGUGAAAACUCAGGGGCUCAACUCCGAGCUUGCAGUUGAUACGGGCAGACUAGAGUUCGGCAGGGGAGACUGGAAUUCCUGGUGUAGCGGUGAAAUGCGCAGAUAUCAGGAGGAACACCGGUGGCGAAGGCGGGUCUCUGGG
This 711-nucleotide ribosomal RNA is filed under the name uncultured bacterium. Its description in RNAcentral is "bacterial SSU rRNA". It matches the Rfam family "Bacterial small subunit ribosomal RNA", at positions 13 to 733 of the family's 1533-position model. The record is from RNAcentral.